This is a long non-coding RNA of Colossoma macropomum (tambaqui), 2009 nucleotides long. RefSeq lists it as uncharacterized. Lineage: Eukaryota; Metazoa; Chordata; Actinopteri; Characiformes; Serrasalmidae. The record is from RefSeq and is a predicted model, not a curated record. The transcript is spliced from 2 exons.
UUGGAACAUUCUUCCUUCUACUGAGCUUCAGCCGGUGGACACCACCCUGACCUGAACUGUGGGAUACCUUGAUAAACGUGUGAACGUAUAAACAUAUCAACCAUAUAAAGCCCAUAUCAGUAGUUUGAGAACUUCUGAACAUCAGCACCUCCUCUUUUACUGUUUCAGGCAAAAGCUUGGUUGAUUCUUCUGUGGAGCUGAAAAAGUUUUCUAAGUCUUUACUCAUGGAUGUUCUUUCAGUGCUUAGAUCAGCACUGGUAGAUCAUCUAAUUCAUCCUAAAGGUGUUGGAAGGGGUUGAGGUCAAGGCUUUGAGAAGGUCAGACAGCUCCUUCCACACCACAUUCAGCAAAUCAUUUCUUUAUGGGCUGUAGGUUCUGAAUGGGUCAUUGUGAUGCUGAAACAGGAAGAGUUGGAACCACAUCAUUAAAAACAAUAUGUUUUUAUAUUGAACAGUUGCUGCAUUUGUUUAUGUCAGUGUUCAUAUAAAACAAGUAUAUCCAGAUUUAUACUGAGUUGCUAUUUAAAAAACUUAUUAGUAAUAUUAUUUUCUUUUUUUAUUCCUAUUAUUUGUAUAGUGGAUGAUAUCAAUAAUAGUUUUGGUGAGUUAAUUGUAAGUCAGUUAUCAGACAUGAGUUUGAUCAUACAGAUGCACCAAAGAUGAAACUGAUAAAUAUCAAAACACUAUAUGAAAUUUGCAUGAGUUCAUUUUGUGAUCAGAUUUGACCAAACACAGCUUUGAUGAAUAAAGACUGAGUUUAUUUAAUGUUUAUUUUAUGACUGAGUUCAUUUAAUGGAGUUUAUUUAAUAUGAUGUUGGUGAUGCGCCUGACAAAGCACCAUUUCACCACAAAGGGGAGGUUCUUUACUGUACAUUAUUUUCUGUUUAUAAUAAUAAAGUGAGAAGUUACAUUUUUACAUAAACACAUCAUCACCCACUUCAUGUCUCACAAACAAAUGCAAAUCUCCCACACAAAAUAUCAUCCAUUUUACGUUUCUGUCAUUUGUUUUUUCUUUCUUCUUUGGUGUGUUUGUUUAUAAGAGAGAGGCAUACAGGAUAAAUUCAAUUAUGUUUUUUUUCUUCUUAAUUCCUUGUAUGAGAUGUUGGUGUUUGUAUAGAUUGUAUACGUAGUUCUGUGUAGAACCGUAAAUGUGAGGAAGUUUUCUCCAUCUCUCUACAGAUUAUUUGACUGCAGGAUUACAGAGGAAGGCUGUAAAGCUCUGGUUAAAGCUUUGAAAUCAAAUCCUUCACACUUGAGAGAGCUGAAUCUGGGUUGGAAUGAACCAGGAAAGUCAGGAGUGAAGAUGCUUUCUGCUCUACUAGAAGAUCCACACUGUAAACUGGAGAAACUAAACUUCUGAAAACCACCUGCACUUGACCUGCUAUGAGCUUCUCAAACUCUGGGCUGAUGAGCAGAGGACGACGUCUUAUAGAACCUACAGAUUGUCUUGGUUGUCAGGUUUGUUCACUCAUUGGCCAAAUCUGUGAUCACAGAUGCAGGGAUUUCUUUAUUUUCCUGGAUACCAUUGGCUGCACCUCAGAUAGUACAUCUGUCAAUCUCCUCACAUUUGAGGUCGACCCCACAUUGUUUAGAGGAACACAAGAUGCUCCUCUUCCUCUCAAAGCACCUGGACUCCUGGGAUCAACAUCAACCCUCUCAAACCAGUGGAAAUGUUGACAGACUCUCAUAAACUCACUGUAGAAAUCAAGACUGCAGCUGGGAGAGUUCAGCGUCCUUCAGGUUCCUGGAGGUCAGCGUCUCUGUUUAACACACAGUCAUUGUGUUGUAUGUGUCUGUCAGAAUCUCAUCAUAUGCUGAUUUGAUUAUGCAGAAUUCACAUGCUUGAACGGUUUAAGAAUAUACAGAGUGUGCAAGAGAGUGUUUCUUUCUCAUGUUAGGUUACUGUUUUCAGUUUUGAUUUGAUGUGUACUUUAUGUAAAGCCUUUUAAUUAUUUUAUGCAUUGUUUUUUUCACCCCUAUUUUAAUAAUAAAAGUCUGGGGACAUAGUAA